UACGUAGGUGACAAGCGUUGUCCGGAUUUACUGGGCGUAAAGAGCGCGCAGGCGGUCGUUCAAGUCGAGUGUGAAAGCCCCCGGCUCAACUGGGGAGGGUCAUUCGAUACUGAUCGACUCGAAGGCAGGAGAGGGAAGUGGAAUUCCCGGUGUAGUGGUGAAAUGCGUAGAUAUCGGGAGGAACACCUGUGGCGAAGGCGGCCGCCUGGUUGGAUACUGACGCUGAGACGCGAAAGCGUGGGGAGCAAACAGG
This 253-nucleotide ribosomal RNA is filed under the name uncultured bacterium. RNAcentral's name for it is "partial 16S ribosomal RNA". It matches the Rfam family "Bacterial small subunit ribosomal RNA", at positions 524 to 776 of the family's 1533-position model. The record is from RNAcentral.